AUACAUGCAAGUCGAGCGAAUCUUUGGGAGCUUGCUCCCAUUGGUUAGCGGCGGACGGGUGAGUAACACGUGGGCAACCUGCCUGUAAGACUGGGAUAACUUCGGGAAACCGGAGCUAAUACCGGAUAAUUCUUUUCCUCUCAUGAGGAAAAGCUGAAAGUCGGUUUACGCUGACACUUACAGAUGGGCCCGCGGCGCAUUAGCUAGUUGGUG
Molecule: ribosomal RNA, 213 nt
Filed under: Bacillus sp. SRB_28
Lineage: Bacteria; Bacillati; Bacillota; Bacilli; Caryophanales; Bacillaceae
Description: partial 16S ribosomal RNA
Rfam family: Bacterial small subunit ribosomal RNA
Source: RNAcentral